RNAcentral lists this ribosomal RNA (500 nucleotides) under uncultured bacterium. Its description in RNAcentral is "partial 16S ribosomal RNA". It matches the Rfam family "Bacterial small subunit ribosomal RNA", at positions 32 to 507 of the family's 1533-position model. The record is from RNAcentral.
AAUCAACGCUGGCGGCGUGCCUAACACAUGCAAGUCGAACGCGAAAGCCCCGCAAGGGGUAAGUAGAGUGGCCAACGGGUGAGUAACACGUGGGUGACCUGCCUUCGAGUGGGGGAUAACGUCCCGAAAGGGACGCUAAUACCGCAUGACAUCCUGCUUUUGAAAAAGCGGAGAUCAAAGCUGGGGAUCGCAAGACCUAGCGCUUGAAGAGGGGCCCGCGCCUGAUUAGCUAGUUGGUGAGGUAACGGCUCACCAAGGCGACGAUCAGUAUCCGGCCUGAGAGGGCGGACGGACACACUGGGACUGAGACACGGCCCAGACUCCUACGGGAGGCAGCAGUGGGGAAUUGUUCGCAAUGGGCGCAAGCCUGACGACGCAACGCCGCGUGGAGGACGAAGAUCUUCGGGUCGUAAACUCCUGUCGAGCGGGACGAACGCUUCGCGGAUGAAUAAUCCGCGGAAUUGACGGUACCGCUAAAGGAAGCCCCGGCUAACUCCGUG